RNAcentral lists this unclassified non-coding RNA (337 nucleotides) under soil metagenome. RNAcentral describes it as "partial contains 5.8S ribosomal RNA, internal transcribed spacer 2, and large subunit ribosomal RNA". The stretch from base 1 to 120 matches the Rfam family "5.8S ribosomal RNA", at positions 35 to 154 of the family's 154-position model. The record is from RNAcentral.
GAUGAAGAACGUAGCGAAAUGCGAUAAGUAAUGCGAAUUGCAGAUUUCAGUGAAUCAUCGAAUCUUUGAACGCACAUUGCGCCCGCCAGUAUUCUGGCGGGCAUGCCUGUUCGAGCGUCAUUUCAACCAUCAAGCCCCCGGGCUUGUGUUGGGGACCUGCGGCUGCCCGCAGGCCCUGAAAACCAGUGGCGGGCUCGCUGUCACACCGAGCGUAGUAGCAUCAUCUCGCUCAGGGCGUGCUGCGGGUUCCGGCCGUUAAAAAGCCUCUAAUACCCAAGGUUGACCUCGGAUCAGGUAGGAAGACCCGCUGAACUUAAGCAUAUCAAUAAGCGGAGGA